GUAUAUGUUUUAUAGGCACAACAUUCUAUCGACAUACAUUGGGGUAAAUGAAACGACAUAGACCUGAAAAGGUCUACAAAAAGUGCACAGGUGGAGAUAUAAAGAUGACAAGGUGUGCACAUGCUCCCUAGAGAACCAGCAACAACCCAUCAGGUUUAUUUCAAUAAUGAUCCUUCCGCAGGUUCACCUACGGAAA
This 196-nucleotide unclassified non-coding RNA is filed under the name uncultured fungus. RNAcentral describes it as "sequence contains ITS1". Lineage: Eukaryota; Fungi. The record is from RNAcentral.